AUUCGUCAAGUUGAUACUGACAGGGGACGUCGCAACAGGAAAAAGCCCCUGAGAAGUAGUAGGAAGUUGGCCACCAGAGGGAUUAGCAAAAUGUGGUGAGGUCGUAGAGGUGGAAAAUAAGUUCCUUCCAGAGCUUGCGAAAAUACUGCUGGGAGUGGAAGGAUUUUGAUAUGACUGGGUAGGGACUUGGGUUCCGAAGCCAAAGGAACCUGAUGUUGAUGUAUUCCCA
RNAcentral lists this unclassified non-coding RNA (229 nucleotides) under Hevea brasiliensis (rubber tree). Lineage: Eukaryota; Viridiplantae; Streptophyta; Magnoliopsida; Malpighiales; Euphorbiaceae. The record is from RNAcentral.